AAUCAGUCACAAGAAUGUCGAAUCUGAAUCACUUGAAAAAAACACGGGGGUGCUUAACUUUUUUCCAGGUGUAUAUAUAUAGGUGUGUG
RNAcentral lists this long non-coding RNA (89 nucleotides) under Limulus polyphemus (Atlantic horseshoe crab). RNAcentral's name for it is "uncharacterized LOC111087982, transcript variant X1". Lineage: Eukaryota; Metazoa; Arthropoda; Merostomata; Xiphosura; Limulidae. The record is from RNAcentral.